AAUCAGACGAGAAUGCAUUGGGCCACGCCCAUUUUCCUAUGUUCAGCUUAGUUCUUUUUUUCUUUCAGCGCUCUUUUGGGUCUGCUUAGUGCUGCCAAAAUUGAUGAAAUUUUAAGCGAACACUCACGAAAAGUAGCAUUUAUAGAGAAAGCGCUGCUGGUGGUGUUGGUGGCCACACUUUGUUCUUUAUUUGCCUUCGCCUCUCGCUCGAUUUUCUUCGGCCUUCGAUUGGAAUGGGUCGUCAAAAGUCAAACGUCAAAAGACUUUGCGCGUUUGUUUUUUUUAUGGCGCUUGCUAAUUUACAUGUUUCGGGAUUAUUUUUCAAGUGAGUGACUAACUAAUGUUCAAAAGAACAUGUUGCCGGUAGUUGGAAGCAAUUUUAUAUCUUAAGCGCUUUGAAAUCGUUAGCGCAAGUGAAAGGAUAUUGAUGGCGACUUUCGUUAAGCAGUUAACCUCUCAUCUUGCGUGUGGAUGUGUGUGCCACCAAAAUGAUGAGAAAUGGUCUCGCAAAAUAGAAAUUAUGAUCAAAAGUGCAUUAAAUUUGAUCUUUUUGGCCAGUAAGUGGCAUAAAUUUCGUGCUUACUUGAGGCGGUGCUGUUGCUGGUAAGUUUAUAGCGUAACAAGUAUUUUUGGAGCUUUAAUCGAGCAUCAAACUCUCAAUAUAACGAAGAUAGGUGUUUGAUUAGAAAGGGUAUAUUUCCCCUAUGGAGCUUAUUAUUCAUUGAGCAUCAAAUGUUGAAGAAAUCCUGACGGCAAAGUUCAUUGAGUCACUGCAAAAUUUAUCAUUCAACAUUGCAUACAAUUCAAGCAUUCCCGUGAUAUUAAAUUUCUCCUAGGCAAAAAAGAAUCAAAACAAAACAAUGAAUUGAUAUUGCAGUAGUGGUUCAAUCGACAAUUUUGAUGAUCAUUCAGCAAGAGUCUGAUAUUUCCAGAGCCGUGGGAAUUCAGCAAACUAAUACAACUCGACAGAUUAUCUUGUGCAGUUAGUACGAUAGUUUUCAUAGGAUAAGCCGAUUUUCGUAGAAGUUAUGCGUUUUUAGGCAAAUAUGAAUUCGAAUGGAGUUUCUUUGGAUUCAUUAGAAUUCUUGUACCGCUGCUCGUGUACCUUAUGUGUUUCGUGACUAUUUUCAAAGCUUGUUUAAAAUUGUGCAAACGACGCAGAAAUGAGAGGCCAGCCUUACAACGCGUUGCUUCGGUUUCAUCGUACAUCAACCUUGCACAACCAAUACCGGCAAGACCAACCCAUGUGGCUAUUCCAAUCGAUUUAACAUUGGAUGACGAAGGAGUUAGGCAGCAGCAGCAGCCUGCUGCGACCGAUUUAAUUUCACAGAAUCCACCGAGCUACGAGGAGGUGACUAGCGAAAGUUACAACCAGAAAUUACCUGCUUAUUCUGAAUUGAGUCGGUAGCAAAUUAAGUGAGAUUGCCUGAACCUUUUACUGAAACAGUGUAAAAGGAGACUCAAGUCUUUAAUCUCAAUGGUUCACAUCACAAAUCACGUGGACAUUUUAAUUUAUCUAUAAUAUCUAAUUUAGUUAUAAUCUUGAUCGAACGAGCCACUCGAAAAAAAAAAAUACAAAUAAUUUAGUCAGAGUUAAAUAUUGAGAAUUGCAUUAAGAUGAUAAAAUGUAUGUUACCAAUUAUAGAAUUAUAUAAAGCCUAAUGACAAAUUAAUUUUUAAGAAAUUCCUACUGCGAAGUUCAUUGAGUCGCUGCAAAACUUAGCAUUCAACAUUGCAUACAAUUCAACCAUUCACAUAUUCUCAUUCACAUCCCGUGAUAGUAAAAUCUUGCCACCGCGAAAACUAAUCAAAACAAAACGGCGAAUUCCGUUUACAGUGGUGGUGAAAUUGACCUCGAAACAAGUUUGACGAUCAUUCAGCAAGACGCUGGUGUUUCCCCGAGUCGUAGGAAUUCAGCAAGCCGGCAUCUGAUUGAGUAUUUCAUGCGAUAUUAGUCAUCACUUGUCAGUUUGUCUCGCUUCAUUAGGCAAACAUGAAUUUGAUUGGAGUUUUUUACGGAUUCUUCCGAAUUGUUAUACCGGUGCUCGUGUACCUUAUGUGUUUCGUGGUUGUCUUCAAAAUUUGCUCAAAACUGUGCAAACGACGCAGAACUGAGAGGCCAGUCUUGCUACGCGUUUCUUCGGUUCCAUCAAAUGUCAAUCUUGCACGACAAAUACCGCCAAGGCCAGUCCAUGUGACCAUUCCGAGCGCUCCCCCGUUGGAGGUAGUCUCUUCAAGUGACGAAGGAGUUAGGCAGCAGCAGCAGCCUACUGAGACCGAUUUAGAAUCACAGAAUCCACCAAGCUACGAGGAGGUGACUAGCGAAAGUUACAACCAGCAACUACCUGCUUAUCCUGGAUUUAGCCGGUAGCGUGUUGUCUGAUUUUGAUGAUUUUGAUGCGGCUGUCCGAUUCCAUGAGAGAGUAUUUUGGAUAAUUAUCGGAAUAGUCAUAUUGUGCGUCUUUCUAUGCUUUAUAAUUUGCAUAAUUUUUGUCCGACGUUAUAGACGCAACACUAAUCCGGGUACAAUUUACACCUCUCCAGUGGUCAUCACGUCACAGCAGCACUAUCCCGCAACUGGUUCUCCGAAUGUGGUGGUCAAUCCGAUCGUUUAUGCACCGCCAAACAUCGGCUACCAGCCAAUGCAGAUGCAGCAGCAGCAGCAGCCACUACUACAGCAAUAUCUACCGGCAACCGCCCCGCAAAUGGAGUUUGGCCAAACCACGCAGGGUCCUCCCAGCUACCAGCAGGCCACCUACUUUCAACACCAGGAGGCGUAUAAUCCAGAAUUUAGAAAACAAUAGAUAAGUGGGAAAACUGCCGUAAAUGCACACAAUAUUCGUCCAACGGGCGCCUUCGAAUCUCAGGGAUUUUGUAAAGAAAAUGUAUGUUUAAAGUUUGGUUCAGAUUUUAUUUUAUUUUUUGUUUUUUUUUUUGAGAGUUCAAAAUUUUUCUUAAGUAAUUUUAAACGACAAAAUUUUAAUUGUUAUAUAUGAAUGAAAAAAAAACAGCGGCUUAUCCUUAUUUUUUUUAAAUAAGACCCUCGUUAUGAAACUACGUUAGUGGAGAUUCAAAAUUGAAACAUAAUAAGUUUAUUCAGUUGACAAAUCAAAUAAAUUUGCAAAUGCUUAAACAGUUGUUGUUCAAAAACCACCAAGUGGAAACCAAGUGCUGUUCGUUUUUUGUCAGACAAAUACUCAAAGUGCAUUUAAAAUUAUAUAUUCAUAUUAAAGGGAUUUACAUAAAUUUACAUGAUGGGAAUAAAAAAAAUCUAUUUCCAAUUUAUUACACUUAAGGCUUAUUGUCAAGAAAAAUUCAUGAAAUUCAACUAAAAAUUUUCUUAAAAUGACAUUGGUGGACCUAAGGUUUAAAGAAACAAACAAAAAACAUUAGCCAGGGCCAAUAUUUUUUGUUAUAGAUCAUUUAAGCUGUUGUUGAAAAUAAAUUUAAAAUAUAAU
RNA transcript from Culex pipiens pallens (northern house mosquito), 3458 nucleotides. RefSeq lists it as uncharacterized. The transcript has 7 exons. NCBI's taxonomy places the organism in Eukaryota, Metazoa, Arthropoda, Insecta, Diptera, Culicidae. The record is from RefSeq and is a predicted model, not a curated record.